CCCCACAUCGCCGCCGCCCCGUCUCCCCCUCCCUCCGGCAGACCUCGCCGCCGGCCAUAGCCUUCGCUCUCUCCCCCCACACCUGCCGCCCCACCCUCUCCUCUACACAUCCCCACUCCCUCCUCCCCUCGUCGAAAGAGAAAGAGAAGAGGGAGGUCGUGCAGAUGCGGCUAGGGCUUCGAUCUGGAUAAUCCCUCGCCGGCGCCCGUCGGGACAUCACCUCUGUCCGUUUGCUCCUCCUCAUCCCACCUCAGGCGGCGGCCAGAUCGCGGCGGAUUUGCGCCACCGUCAAGAGCGGGCCUCGCUCGAGAUGAGAGGAGGCCAACUUCUACCUCCGUCUGCUUCUGCUCGAGAUGGAGCUAUCGCUGCUCCGCCUCCCCGUCCUUUCCGCAUCCGGGGCCGACUCUGCCGAGCCGGUCGAGGCGGAGGCGCCUGCUGCCGACGAUGGCCCCAAGGAUGUGCUCACGGUCGAGGCCGAGGAGGACACGCUCACCGGGCUGGCGCUGCGCAAGUACGUGAAGCAGCGGCCACCAACUCAGCUCCGGCCACUUCCCCACGCGGCGACGCUUCUUCCUCGACCCCGACGACGAGGUUGGUCCGAUCUGAUCUGGACGAGCUGCUGCUGCUCCUACAGCAAGGUGAUGUGGUCGUGAAGAAGGCGACAGAGUACGGCGCAGUGGAGAUUUGGAUGAAUGAGCGUGUUAGGAGGGCAUGCUCUAGCAGCUGCGCAGAUUUUCUAUACGGCUUUCGAUUCAGUGCUAAAGCUUGUUUUUCAUCUACUAGUAUUUGGUUGGUUCCUAAACUCACAAUGUGUAUUAUUUCCUAGAGCAAAACCAAAGGUAAGGGUGAGGAAUACUGGCUUAUUUGGCGCUACGAAGGCGAGGACACGCUUUCUGCUCUCAUGCAAAGCAAGGAGUUCCCGUACAAUGUUAUUUCCCAAUGAUGGCCAGGCAGUGGCAGGAAUCACUUGCUUUGGCGCUAAUGACUACCCAACUAUCUAUGUUCGAUCAUUAGCUACCAAGCCGUUUCAUUGGUCUUCGGUUUGACCAUUGCAUCUUCUGUAGGAAUGCCUUGCUCAAAAAUUAUGUAGCAUCAAAACUGCUGGAUGCCCCCUUAAACCUUUCAAUUCCUUAGUAUGAAAAUAAUAUACAUAAGGAAUUAUGUGCUGGCUCCGUGGUUUGCUAAUUGCUUUCCUUGCUCAAUAUUGAUCUCACGACCACUGUAGCUAUAUUAUGCCCCUGCCUCAGUACUGAACUUAAUGUAAACUUGGUUCAGUUUUUUAUAUAUUAUAAACAUGCUAAGCAAAAGUUAGGAACCGGCAACGUGCGCCAAGGCACGCUGGAGGUCUAGUGUCUAUGAAGUGGUCGGUGUUCUUUUUAUUGUGGUAUAAGAUGAACCAGUUCAUUAUUUGUUUGGUGAUUGGUUUGAACACAUGUUCAUUAUUUGUUUGGUGAUUGGUUUGAACACAUGUUCUUUUUCUGCAGAAAUGUGUUGUGGUUCCUUGCAGAAUAAAUAAGUAAUCAUCAUAGAUAAUCAUGUAAAAGUAAAAUUCUUGGAAUUAUUGUUUUCCUGCUGUAUAAUACCUAUUUAUUAUUUUACUACUGAUGUGAGUUAAUCGUACUCUAUUCCUUUUAUUGAGCUAUUCCACUACCUCCUCCAGCGUCUCUAUGGGGGCGCCCGACGGUAGGCAGGCCAUGGAUGUAAUAGACCUGCUGCUACUGACUGUCUUCCCAGACCACGUCCCCAAGCUGCUCCUGCCAUCGACCCUCCUCAACUUUGCUCAUUGCCCGCUGCUGCUGCAGGUGAGACAAUUUCCUUGAUCUGUCGCUUCUUCCUCCUAUCAUGGCCAUAUGUGCUGCUUCUUUAACUCCCCUAGUUUGGGUGUAGCUGCAACUAGUGUAUUUUGGGAGUGAUUCGAUUUGACCCUGCUAAACUGCCGAUGAAUUUUGCUGUCAUUCUCUUGCACUCUGCUAUGCAGCUCUUGUUUACCUUAAAUGCAACUAUUGGUGCACUUGUUAAAUGCCAUUAUUUGUGCUAUUUGCUUUCCUUUUCAUGCAUGGUGUAACACCCCGGAUGUAACUUUCCAUAUUUGUAACUCCAACUCUUGCCAUUUUCGGCUAUGUGAUAUGAUAUUCCCUCCGUGGUUGAGUUUUGUC
RNA transcript from Triticum dicoccoides, 2156 nucleotides. RefSeq lists it as uncharacterized. The record is from RefSeq and is a predicted model, not a curated record. The transcript is spliced from 4 exons. Lineage: Eukaryota; Viridiplantae; Streptophyta; Magnoliopsida; Poales; Poaceae.